UCAGUGGGGAGAGGGAGGGGGAGAAGGCAAUAUGGGGUAGGGGAGGACUGACCCAGUCAGAGAGGUCAAGGAAAUAUCCUUGAGCAAGCCAUGGUUGAGCAGAGUUUUGAAAGAUGGUAGGAAUUAACUAAGCCAAGGCUUGGAUGAGAGAGGUGGAGGCACCAUUGUAGGUAGAAGGAACAGCAGGAGCAAGGAUUCUGAAGAAGCCAGGCAGAUUUCCUGCUUUUCAGUGUUGUGUGUGUGUGUGUGUAUGUUUGGUUUUAAUAGUUUUUACUUUUCUCUAUGGACUAGAACCGUAGGACUUAAUAAGCCCAAACAUGAUGUUGUAGAAGAAACUGGAAUGGAAGUUCUGGGACCUGGGCACUAGGUACUACCUCACCAAGUCAUUUUCUGACUUCCAUGUGUAUGUAUGACAUCUUGAGUCUUUAACCAUUUCAAGGCUCCCAUUUCUUCAUCUGCAAAAUGAGGGUCUGAGAGUAAAUGGACUUUGGGAUGAUUCUCAGGAUCUUGCACACUUUUAGAUUAGCUACGUAUAUUGGGUAUUUACUGGACCCUUCUCCUCCACGUAUACCAUGUUUCUAGGGUAUGACCUCCCCUUACUCUCCUGAUCAUAACUAAUUGGUUUGGGGGUAGGAACUGACUCAAGCUGGGCCAAUCAGAUUUUAUUCCUUGAGAACUUUAAAUUAGGCUAGCUCUUGGAAUGGAGGUAAAAACUGAGAAGUUGUAGGGAAACUACUUUCUUCCCACAGGGUAGACCAAGCAAAGAAAGGAAGAUGUCAGCGUGAAGAAUAAAGCACACUGGCACAAAGAAGCUGCAUGGGCCCUGAGAGCUUUCAAGUUCUUAUCUAAGGCCAACUCUAUGCCUGCCUUUGCAUUCCACAAGUGCUUCUAUAUCCUUUUAUUAUCAUUAUUAUUUGUUUUUUGCUUUUUAGGGCUGCACCUGUAGCAUAUGGAAGUUCCCAGGCUAGGGGUCGAAUCGGAGAUGCAGCUGCCAGCCUACACCACAGCCAGAGCAACGCCAGAUCUGAGAUGAAUCUUCAACCUACACCACAGGUCAUGGCAACGCUGGAUCCUUAAUCCUCUGAGCGAGGCCAGGGAUUGAACCUGCAUCCUCACGGAUACCAGUCAGGUUCAUUACCACUGAGCCAUGACAGCAACUCCUAUAUCCUUUUAAUAAAUUCCUUUUUUCCUUUAAGCUAGCUGAAUUAUACAGUAGAUUGUAGCAGGUAUUAUGUUUGUCUAACAGUGUUUUUCCCCACCCAACCCCUUUUGAUUUCCCUGGGUAACUCCUCCCCCAAUUUUCAUGAAUUUCCAAUAGGAUAAAUCAUCAAAGAUACUCCCCCCAGGGGUGAGCAUGUGAUCUAGCAUGACCAGCCAGGGCACCCUAUCUGCCUGGCCACAAUGAUUGGGGGGUAUAUAGGCACAUAACCCAGGCAAGGCCAAUCAAUGUCUUCCCUAGGACUGAAAGAAGGAGUUGGAAAAAUUCUUUCUGCUUAGGUGGCUACACUGGGACAAUGUGCAUUUGGGAAUUAGUCUCCAUUUUAUUUCUUUGUGAAGAGACUCUGCAGAAUGACACCCAACAGAGACAAGUUACCUGAAGAGAUGGGGAGAGAGAGAGUGAGAGACCUCUGAAACACCAAACCUUAGAUUCUACCCUGCCUUGAGCCAGAUCCAUUCCUAGAUUUUCCAGUUAUGCAAGUCAAUAAAUUUCUUUCUUUGUUUAAGCUAGCUGGGUUUUCAUAACUUGCAAUUAGAAUAGUCCUUACUCAUAUAAGUUCAUUUCUAUUAACUUGCGUGCAAAAUCCUAACUAAUGGGACAAUAUAGCAAAUAUAAGGUUUUAUGAAGUCUUUAUUAUGUCCCUAUAGAAUUAAAAAUACCACUGUAUUGGCAGAGGCUCCCAACCCCGUAACUCCUUUCAGUCCACUUGCUAUAGUUCUGUCAGCCUUUGAUCUCUGUUAUGGGUUGAAUUGUGUUCCCUGAAAAGCUCCCCAAAAAGAUAUGCUGUAGUCCUACUCCAGUGUCUCAGAAUAAGUUCUUAUUUGGAAUUACAUUCAUUGAAGAUGUAAUCAAUUAAGAUGUGGUCAAACUUAAGUAGGGAGGGCCCCUAAUCCAUUAUGACAGGAGUCCUUAUAAGAAGACAGCCAUGUGAAGACAGAAACCCACAGAGAACACCAGGUGAAGAUAGAGCCUAGGGCCACUAGAGCUAGGGGAGAGGCAUGGAAUGGCUUCUCCCCUCAGAAGGAACCAAAUAUGCCAAAUGGAGGUAUGUUUGGAUAAUGGUUGCAGGUAAAGAAGGUGCUGCAUUUGCUGCUUCCUAUCAGGGUUGUAAUUUUAUUUAGAUCAGAAUGACUGUCCUUAGACCAUUGUCCUAUUCCACUACUCUCCUCCCAGUCUCCUUUUGCUCUAGGGAAACUGGAGGCCUAGAUGAAAAUUCAGACUCAACUCUAGUGGAACUGGCUUCAGAGCCCAGUUUCCAAGGGACUCAAGCAUCUGAGGAAAAGGGUAUUCAUUGACUGGCUGCAAGGUGGGAAAACAGAGACAAUAAGAAUCAUGUGCCUUGGCAGAGCCAACAAGCCAGGCACCCACAGCCGGGACCCAAGGCCCCAUUCCCAGGCUUUGUCUUGGCUCUGUGUGUGAGACCACACUGGAGAAUGUGGGACUCAUCCUGGUCUAUUCCCAACAGCCCAACACUACCUCUGACCAGCCACCCCAGGGCAUGGGAAAGGGAGAGGCGUGAAGGGCUGGACAAGAAGUGAAGCAAGUAUGAAAUCUGACAUCUCUCCGCCUAGGAGACACACACAGAGAAAAGAUCCAGCUUGGCUGCCUGCUCUCCACUGCAAACUAAGAUGGCAUGGUCACCAGUAUAGGAUGAAAGACACCAUGCUGAGAGCCAGAUGGUUCUACUGGAAGUGGAAUCUCAAAGAGGUGGAGAGAGGUUCAGAAGAUGAGCUGGUAUUUGUUAAUCAAAUACUUCCCUACCUUCUUUCUUCUGAAAAGAUCAUAAUCUUCCCUCUCAUUCAUUGACUCCUCACGCUAUAUGUUGGUAGGGCCACUGGACAUGGACACUGUGGGCCCUCCAGCUAAUUGUGGGAGCAGCUGCUAAGUGCAUUUUCAAGUCUCAUCAAAGGGUGGGAGGAUGGAGGGGAGAAGAUGGGGAGCCACUUCCCUAAUGAAAAAGAAUACCCUAAAAAGUAACAAGGAGCAAGUUGUGGCUUGAGAAAAAAAAAAUUCUCCUCUUAGGAGACAUCAGAUUCUUAAUUCCCAGCAACAACUGCAUGAUAUUGUCAUUUAUUGACUUAGUGUUCAAGUGAGUAGGAUCAAGCUGUUCUUGUCCUUCAGUCCAGAUGGGUUUUGGAGACCGAGAUCCCACAGGCAGUGAAUCCAGGUCAGGCUUCUCUGUGCAACUCAAGUCUCCCCCAGGCACUGUCAGCAACCAAUAGUCUUGUCUCUCCUUCCCUCACCCCACCCCACACCUACACAUGCCCUGGCCAGCACCCUCUCUCCUCUUCAUUUACCCAUGAGGCCAAACUGAGCCCUCAGCUUUUAGAAAUCUCUGGGUAUCUGGGUGGAGGGAAGAGGAAGGAGACGUAGGAGAGGGUCACACCACAUCAAGUUCUUUACCAGCUUGAGAAGAACUUUGGUGGUCUCUCCAAGGCCACCAAAGAUGGUUUUUCAAUGGUAACUGUCUUGGAGGAGAGAAAUAAAAUCCUGGGUCUGGGGAUUUUUUUUUUUUUUUUGCAUUGUUUUCACUUUUGGAUAUACCACUUAAAAGUAUGUUAGAUCUUUUUUGUUUUUUCUUUUUUGGCCACCCCAUGGCAUAUGGAGUUCUUAGGCUAGGGAUUACAUCCGGGCCACUGGUGCAACCUACGCUGGUGCAGCAAUGCCAAAUUCUUAACCCGCUAUGCCAGGCUGGGG
RNAcentral lists this long non-coding RNA (3916 nucleotides) under Sus scrofa (pig). Its description in RNAcentral is "lncRNA (ENSSSCG00065048689.1)". Lineage: Eukaryota; Metazoa; Chordata; Mammalia; Artiodactyla; Suidae. The record is from RNAcentral.